AGCCUAAAUCUAGCCCAAUCAUACCUCACACUAGAGUAACUAAAAACCCACCCAACCACCAAACUAAAGCAUUUUUAAAACUUAGUAUAGGCGAUAGAAAAGGACUCUUGGCGCGAUAGAGAGCUGUACCGUAAGGGAAAGAUGAAAUAACAAUGAAAAACCAAGCAACAAGAAGCAAAGAUUAGCCCUUGUACCUUUUGCAUCAUGAUUUAGCAAGAACAACCAAGCAAAGUGACCUUAAGCUUGCCUCCCCGAAACCCAAGCGAGCUACUCACAAGCAGCUAUUUUGAGCGAACCCGUCUCUGUUGCAAAAGAGUGGGACGACUUGUUAGUAGAGGUGAAAAGCCAACCGAGCUGGGUGAUAGCUGGUUGCCCGUGAAACGAAUCUAAGUUCUACCUUAACCCUACCUCCCUGCCAUGAACUCUUAGCAACUGUUUUAGUGUAAAAGGUUAAGAGUAAUUUAAAGGGGGUACAGCCCCUUUAAAAAAGAAUACAAUCUCUCCUAGCGGAUAAAAUUUUUUCCUGACAUCGUACCUCAGAACUGUAGGCUUUAAAGCAGCCAUCAACAAAGAAUGCGUCAAAGCUCCACCAAACUAAAAAUAUAAGAACACUAUGAAUCCCUAACCCAUAACGGGCUAACCUAUACCUAUAGGAGAAUUAAUGCUAAAAUAAGUAACUUGGAGCCCUCGCCCCUCUUAAGGCGUAAGCUUACAUCCCACAUUAUUAACAGGCUAACAAGUACCACAAUUUAGACAAGACUAUGUACUAACCUCACCCUGUUACCCCAACACUGGAGCGCCCAUUAGAAAGAUUAAAAUCUGUAAAAGGAACUAGGCAAGCCCAGGGCCCGACUGUUUACCAAAAACAUAGCCUUCAGCCCACCAAGUAUUGGAGGUGAUGCCUGCCCAGUGACAUACGUUUAACGGCCGCGGUAUCCUAACCGUGCAAAGGUAGCGCAAUCAAUUGUCCCAUAAAUCGAGACUUGUAUGAAUGGCUAAACGAGGUCCUAACUGUCUCUUACAGAUAAUCAGUGAAAUUGAUCUUCCUGUGCAAAAGCAGGAAUAAACACAUAAGACGAGAAGACCCUGUGGAACUUUAAAAUCAGUGACCACUGCAUAACCAACACAAACCUAUUAGGCUCACCACCCCAAAAACGCUGGCACACAUUUUUCGGUUGGGGCGACCUUGGAGAAAAACAAAACCUCCAAAAAUAAGACCACCAAUCUUAACCAAGAGCAACAUCUCAACGUGCUAACAGCAAUCAGACCCAAUAUAAUUGACCAAUGAACCAAGCUACCCCAGGGAUAACAGCGCAAUCUCCUUCAAGAGCCCAUAUCGACAAGGAGGUUUACGACCUCGAUGUUGGAUCAGGACAUCCUAAUGGUGCAGCCGCUAUUAAGGGUUCGUUUGUUCAACGAUUAACAGUCCUACGUGAUCUGAGUUCAGACCGGAGUAAUCCAGGUCGGUUUCUAUCUAUGACAAUGCUUCCCCCAGUACGAAAGGACCAGGGAAGCGAGGCCAAUACUAUAAGCACGCCUCCCCCCAAGUAAUGAACUCAACUAAAUUACCAAAAGGGGACCUACCCACUUACCCCAAGAAAAGGGCCG
Molecule: ribosomal RNA, 1608 nt
Filed under: Cochlearius cochlearius (boat-billed heron)
Lineage: Eukaryota; Metazoa; Chordata; Aves; Pelecaniformes; Ardeidae
Description: 16S ribosomal RNA
Rfam family: Bacterial large subunit ribosomal RNA (bases 85-1528)
Source: RNAcentral